RNAcentral lists this ribosomal RNA (253 nucleotides) under uncultured bacterium. Its description in RNAcentral is "partial 16S ribosomal RNA". It matches the Rfam family "Bacterial small subunit ribosomal RNA", at positions 524 to 776 of the family's 1533-position model. The record is from RNAcentral.
UACGUAGGGGGCAAGCGUUGUCCGGAAUUAUUGGGCGUAAAGAGCGUGUAGGCGGUCCGGUAAGUCGGCUGUGAAAGUCCAGGGCUCAACCCUGGGAUGCCGGUCGAUACUGCCGGACUAGAGUUCGGAAGAGGAGAGUGGAAUUCCUGGUGUAGCGGUGAAAUGCGCAGAUAUCAGGAAGAACACCCGUGGCGAAGGCGGCUCUCUGGGACGGUACUGACGCUGAGACGCGAAAGCGUGGGGAGCGAACAGG